Molecule: non-coding RNA, 79 nt
Organism: Erysipelotrichaceae bacterium 3_1_53
Lineage: Bacteria; Bacillati; Bacillota; Erysipelotrichia; Erysipelotrichales; Erysipelotrichaceae
Source: Rfam
AGGCAGUUAUAUGACUGACGGAAGUGGAAUUGACCACAGGGAGUAUAAUGGAUAAGAGCCGACCGUCUGGGCAGAAGAG